UGAGGAUCCCCAUGCUAGGUGCGGAGUCCUUUCCCAAUGAUGUCACCCGACUAAGGAUACAUCCGCCUGUGUGGAUGCUGGAGCAUAUCCGUUGGUUUCCCCGUUAGGAUCACAAGUCCAAUACGGGUGCCAAGCACGACAAUUCCACUCGUCAUUGGGGUAAAUCCUCUGCAGACGACUUUGUUGCAACUGGGUAUUGUAAGUGGUAGAGUGGCCUUGCUGCUACGAUCCACUGAGAUUCAUCCCGUGUUGCUAUAAGAUUUGU
Molecule: non-coding RNA, 265 nt
Filed under: Volvox carteri f. nagariensis
Lineage: Eukaryota; Viridiplantae; Chlorophyta; Chlorophyceae; Chlamydomonadales; Volvocaceae
Description: Eukaryotic large subunit ribosomal RNA
Rfam family: Eukaryotic large subunit ribosomal RNA
Source: Rfam by way of RNAcentral